RNAcentral lists this ribosomal RNA (569 nucleotides) under uncultured bacterium. RNAcentral describes it as "partial 16S ribosomal RNA". It matches the Rfam family "Bacterial small subunit ribosomal RNA", at positions 355 to 914 of the family's 1533-position model. The record is from RNAcentral.
UGGGGAAUAUUGCACAAUGGGCGCAAGCCUGAUGCAGCCAUGCCGCGUGUGUGAAGAAGGCCUUCGGGUUGUAAAGCACUUUCAGCGAGGAGGAAGGUGGUGAGCUUAAUACGCUCAUCAAUUGACGUUACUCGCAGAAGAAGCACCGGCUAACUCCGUGCCAGCAGCCGCGGUAAUACGGAGGGUGCAAGCGUUAAUCGGAAUUACUGGGCGUAAAGCGCACGCAGGCGGUUUGUUAAGUCAGAUGUGAAAUCCCCGGGCUCAACCUGGGAACUGCAUUUGAAGCUGGCAAGCUAGAGUCUCGUAGAGGGGGGUAGAAUUCCAGGUGUAGCGGUGAAAUGCGUAGAGAUCUGGAGGAAUACCGGUGGCGAAGGCGGCCCCCUGGACGAAGACUGACGCUCAGGUGCGAAAGCGUGGGGCAGCAAACAGGAUUAGAUACCCUGGUAGUCCACGCUGUAAACGAUGUCGAUUUUGGAGGUUGUGCCCUUGAGGCGUGGNUUCCGGAGCUAACGCGUUAAAUCGACCGCCUGGGGAGUACGGCCGCAAGGUUAAAACUCAAAUGAAUUGAC